AUUGAACGCUGGCGGCAUGCCUUACACAUGCAAGUCGAACGGUAACAGGUCUUCGGAUGCUGACGAGUGGCGAACGGGUGAGUAAUACAUCGGAACGUGCCCGAUCGUGGGGGAUAACGGAGCGAAAGCUUUGCUAAUACCGCAUACGAUCUACGGAUGAAAGCAGGGGACCGCAAGGUCUUGCGCGGACGGAGCGGCCG
This 200-nucleotide ribosomal RNA is filed under the name uncultured bacterium. Its description in RNAcentral is "partial 16S ribosomal RNA". It matches the Rfam family "Bacterial small subunit ribosomal RNA", at positions 30 to 232 of the family's 1533-position model. The record is from RNAcentral.